This 371-nucleotide RNase P RNA is filed under the name Myxococcales bacterium. Its description in RNAcentral is "RNase P RNA component class A". It matches the Rfam family "Bacterial RNase P class A". From Rfam's summary of the family: Ribonuclease P (RNase P) is a ubiquitous endoribonuclease, found in archaea, bacteria and eukarya as well as chloroplasts and mitochondria. Its best characterised activity is the generation of mature 5'-ends of tRNAs by cleaving the 5'-leader elements of precursor-tRNAs. Lineage: Bacteria; Pseudomonadati; Myxococcota; Myxococcia; Myxococcales. The record is from RNAcentral.
CCGAGGAGGGGCGGCGGCCGCCGGAUGAUUUCAUCCGGAGGAAAGUCCGGGCUCCAUAGGGCAGGGUGCUGGCUAAUGGCCAGCGGGGGCGACCCCAGGGAAAGUGCCACAGAAACGAUAGCGCCCGGCAGGUCCGGGCAAGCGUGAAAUGGUGCGGCAAGAGCGCACCGGGACCGCGGCGACGCGGACCGCAGGGUAAACCCCACCCGGAGCAAGACCGAAUAGGGAUGCGUCUCCCCCAUGGGGAGUAAGGACGGCCCGUCCGAGCAUUCGGGUUACGGUCGCUGGAGACCGUCGGCAACGACGGCCCUAGAAGAAUGGUCGCCCGCGCUUCGCGCGAACAGAACCCGGCUUACGACCUCCUCGGCCUU